GAAAUGCGAUAAGUAGUGUGAAUUGCAGAAUUCAGUGAAUCAUCGAAUCUUUGAACGCACAUUGCGCCCCUUGGUAUUCCAUGGGGCAUGCCUGUUCGAGCGUCAUUUGUACCCUCAAGCUCUGCUUGGUGUUGGGUGUUUGUCCCGUCUCCGCGCGUGGACUCGCCCCAAAGUGAUUGGCAGCCGGCGUACUGGUCCCGGAGCGCAGCACAUGUCGCGCAAACGAGUGCCUUGGUACGGCGGCGUCCAUAAGCCCCUCUCUCACGCUUUUGACCUCGGAUCAGGUAGGGAUACCCGCUGAACUUAAGC
Molecule: unclassified non-coding RNA, 309 nt
Filed under: plant metagenome
Description: partial contains 5.8S ribosomal RNA, internal transcribed spacer 2, and large subunit ribosomal RNA
Rfam family: 5.8S ribosomal RNA (bases 1-105)
Source: RNAcentral